UACAGAGGGUGCAAGCGUUAUUCGGAUUUACUGGGCGUAAAGCGCAUGUAGGCGGUUUGGUAAGUUUGGUGUGAAAUCCCCCGGCUUAAUCGGGGAAGUGCAUUGAAUACUGCCAGACUAGAGUGCAGGAGGGGAGAACGGAAUUCCUGGUGUAGAGGUGAAAUUCGUAGAUAUCAGGAGGAACAACGGUGGCGAAGGCGGUUCUCUGGACUGUAACUGACGCUGAGGUGCGAAAGCGUGGGUAG
RNAcentral lists this ribosomal RNA (245 nucleotides) under uncultured bacterium. Its description in RNAcentral is "partial 16S ribosomal RNA". It matches the Rfam family "Bacterial small subunit ribosomal RNA", at positions 524 to 768 of the family's 1533-position model. The record is from RNAcentral.